Small nuclear RNA from Lepus europaeus (European hare), 163 nucleotides. RefSeq annotates it as U1 spliceosomal RNA. The record is from RefSeq and is a predicted model, not a curated record. Lineage: Eukaryota; Metazoa; Chordata; Mammalia; Lagomorpha; Leporidae. The transcript has a single exon.
AUCCUUACCUGCCAGGGGAGACACCCUCACCGCGGGGGUGCUUUCCCCAGGGCAAGGCUCAUCCAUUGCACUCUGGAUGUGCUGACCCUGGGAUCUCCCCAAACGUGGGAAACUUGGCCGCAUAAUUUGUGGUAGUGGGGGGCUGCGUUCACACUUUCCCCUA